GCUUAAACUCUUUUCUACAGUUGUAGAGAAAAGACAUUUCAAUUACAGUGGGUGUUACUGAAGCAUGUCCAAGUGUACUUUUUGUGUUCUCUAUUUUGUGUUCUUUGUUAUAUGUAGCCUACAGUGAAAGAAGAGACCCUUCACCCCUCCAGUCUGAAAUCACAAGGGAUGAGGAGGGACACACCACACCAUAGGCUGAUGGUCAAAUGGAGGAACUUCAAUCACCAGGACUGCUUGUCUCUACUGGAGAGCAUCAGUCAAGGAGUUGACAACUGAGCUGCCCUGGGGAAGGAAGUGAAGAAACUGGCCUGUUGGGGAUAACACAGGAGAACAUGUGGGCUGAAGUCUCCCUAUGGCAGAGAGGGCAAAAUUAAAUGAAGAUCUCCUGGAUCCUGAGGACAUCAACUCACCCAGCACUGAUGGGAACACCACACUGUGAUUCUUCACCCCCAGUCAAAAAAAGACUUGUUCUUUGCGCAGCUUUUGAAAGAGUCUGGCACCUUUACAUUCUGGACAGCGGAUGGAGAAGUUUUUCAAAAAUCCUCGUUUGCCCUCCGAGACUGACUGGCUUCCCCGCAGCCCUACCCCGCAGGCAGCCCAGCCUCUGCGGAAGGCACCUGCUGUCAUCUCCAAACAGACGAGGAAGGGAGACAUCUAAAGGCAUCCCCGGGAAGUUCACUCUUCUUCUGCCCACGCCGAUCCCAGAUUUCGACCGCCGGUUUGACAGAGGCAAGUAUCCCCGCUGUGCAAAAGCAGACCUAGCACAGAAGCAGAAUAUUUCUGAGAAGCAUUGCGCACAUUCCCUGCAGUCGUGCCAGAAAGGACAGGAGUGUCUAAGCUACAGCCUCAUACUACAGUAUGCUGCUAGCCUCCUAGCUGCAGUUCUUGAACAGUUCUUGAUCUGCACUUCCAUCCUUUCCCCUCACACCCCGAGGUCACUGCUGAAAGGGAAAGUGCAGAUGGAAGCUGAGAUGUAGAGGCACAUCUGACAGGGGACGUGUAGGAGCAUCAGUAACACAUGCAAUAAGCAUUCAAACUUUCAGGAGGCUGCACAGCAUUCACCACUAACAGCAAGCAGGAAGGUGAAAAACAUCUCCUCCACUACAGAGCUGUCAGUGGAAGUGGCUGCCUUCCCAUCAGGAGAGUGCAACACAGAGUAGACAGUGCAUCUUGUCCGUGAGCUGGAACUGAGGCACCCGCUUCCUUCCCCUCACCCUGUCUGAGAUCAAUGGUAGCUCCAAGGCCCAAAGUGCUCCUUUCUUUCUUUGCCAUCAUCGCCACCCAAAGUGCAGCAGGUCAGGGAGCUGCUGGAGAGUGAGGCUUUUUCUAAUUCUUGGGACUGGCAUUUUCAUGACGAAAAGAAAAAAAGUUACAUUUUCAAAUCAAUAUUAGGUGAACAGUUCAGAAUAAAAGCUUUUCCCUUAGAGAUGCA
RNAcentral lists this long non-coding RNA (1432 nucleotides) under Coturnix japonica (Japanese quail). RNAcentral describes it as "lncRNA (ENSCJPG00005001479.1)". The record is from RNAcentral. Lineage: Eukaryota; Metazoa; Chordata; Aves; Galliformes; Phasianidae.